CCUACGGGUGGCAGCAGUGAGGAAUAUUGGUCAAUGGGCGCUAGCCUGAACCAGCCAAGUAGCGUGAAGGAUGACUGCCCUAUGGGUUGUAAACUUCUUUUAUAUGGGAAUAAAGUGCAGUAUGUGUGCUGCUUUGCAUGUACCUUAUGAAUAAGGAUCGGCUAACUCCGUGCCAGCAGCCGCGGUAAUACGGAGGAUCCGAGCGUUAUCCGGAUUUAUUGGGUUUAAAGGGAGCGUAGAUGGGUAGUCAAGCCAGGAGUGAAAGUCUGGGGCUCAACCCCGGAACUGCAAUUGGUACUGGCAGGCUUGAGUGCAGUAGAGGGAGGCGGAAUUCGUGGUGUAGCGGUGAAAUGCGUAGAUAUCACGAAGAACACCGAUGGCGAAGGCGGCCUACUAGACUGCCACUGACGUUGAGGCUCGAAAGUGUGGGGAGCAAACAGGAUUAGAUACCCGUGUAGUC
This 460-nucleotide ribosomal RNA is filed under the name uncultured bacterium. RNAcentral describes it as "partial 16S ribosomal RNA". It matches the Rfam family "Bacterial small subunit ribosomal RNA", at positions 338 to 795 of the family's 1533-position model. The record is from RNAcentral.